CAGUCGCCACGGGAAUACGGAGGGGGCUAGCGUUGUUCGGAAUUACUGGGCGUAAAGCGCACGUAGGCGGCUUGGUAAGUUAGAGGUGAAAGCCUGGAGCUCAACUCCAGAAUUGCCUUUAAGACUGCCGAGCUAGCAGGUGAGAGAGGUAAGUGGAAUUCCGAGUGUAGAGGCGAAAUUCGUAGAUAUUCGGAAGAACACCAGUGGCGAAGGCGGCUUACUGGCUCAUACUGGACGCUGAGGUGCGAAAGCGUGGGGAGCAAACAGGAUUAGAUACCCCUGUAGUCCCUGUCUCUUAUAC
This 301-nucleotide ribosomal RNA is filed under the name uncultured bacterium. RNAcentral's name for it is "partial 16S ribosomal RNA". It matches the Rfam family "Bacterial small subunit ribosomal RNA", at positions 509 to 807 of the family's 1533-position model. The record is from RNAcentral.